ACGCGCGCGAUUGAUGAGCGCGAUCCAUUUCGGACAUUGUGACCUAAUUCUUAGUAAAUAUAAGGUGUGGGGAUGCAGAGCAGACCACUAUUGACCCCUGAGGAAGUCCCAGAGAUGAUCUAAGGGACGAAACGCGUUGGGCACAUACCGGCACUCCGCUCCUAUCUAAGGAAAUAACAGAUAAGCCUAAAUGCACUUUUAAACUAGGUAUGCACUUCUACCGCUAGCACACAUCCAGCGGAUUCACAAACUCUACCGGCUGUGAUGGAUUUAGAUUAAGGGAAUCCCUAGCCAACGCAGACCUGUCAUGACGGGGGGAGAGAGCUCUUGAUUGGUUACCAGAAUGAAUGAAUACUGAUUCAGCUCUCGGAUCCAGAAGUAUCCGUGACCAUGCCAGUAAGCCAAAUUAUAUUGUCGGGACCGGAGAACUCAGCUGUGCACACAGCGGGACCUGCACCUACUACACCAGACAACACAGACAGCAUUCCAUCUAUU
Pseudophryne corroboree (corroboree frog) is the source of this 495-nucleotide long non-coding RNA. RefSeq lists it as uncharacterized. NCBI's taxonomy places the organism in Eukaryota, Metazoa, Chordata, Amphibia, Anura, Myobatrachidae. The record is from RefSeq and is a predicted model, not a curated record. The transcript has 3 exons.